AGUGAACGCUGGCGGUAGGCCUAACACAUGCAAGUCGAACGGCAGCACAGUAAGAGCUUGCUCUUACGGGUGGCGAGUGGCGGACGGGUGAGGAAUACAUCGGAAUCUACUUUUUCGUGGGGGAUAACGUAGGGAAACUUACGCUAAUACCGCAUACGACCCACGGGUGAAAGCAGGGGAUCUUCGGACCUUGCGCGAUUGAAUGAGCCGAUGUCGGAUUAGCUAGUUGGCGGGGUAAAGGCCCACCAAGGCGACGAUCCGUAGCUGGUCUGAGAGGAUGAUCAGCCACACUGGAACUGAGACACGGUCCAGACUCCUACGGGAGGCAGCAGUGGGGAAUAUUGGACAAUGGGCGCAAGCCUGAUCCAGCCAUACCGCGUGGGUGAAGAAGGCCUUCGGGUUGUAAAGCCCUUUUGUUGGGAAAGAAAAGCAGCAGGUUAAUACCCCGCUGUUCUGACGGUACCCAAAGAAUAAGCACCGGCUAACUUCGUGC
Molecule: ribosomal RNA, 493 nt
Filed under: uncultured bacterium
Lineage: Bacteria
Description: partial 16S ribosomal RNA
Rfam family: Bacterial small subunit ribosomal RNA
Source: RNAcentral